GAUGAACGCUGGCGGCGUGCCUAAUACAUGCAAGUCGAGCGAACAGACGAGGAGCUUGCUCCUCUGACGUUAGCGGCGGACGGGUGAGUAACACGUGGAUAACCUACCUAUAAGAGUGGGAUAACUUCGGGAAACGGGAGCUAAUACCGGAUAAUAUAUUUAACCGCAUGGUUCAAUAGUGAAAGACGGUUUUGCUUUACUUUAUAAUGGGAUCCGGGCCGCUUUAGCUGUUUGGUAAGGUAAGGCCUUACAAAGGCAACGAUGAGAAGCCGACUGAAAAGGGGGAUCGGCCACACGGGAACUGAGACACGGUCCAGACUCCUAGGGGAGGCAGAAGUAGGGAAUCUUCCGCAAUGGGCGAAGGCCUGACGGAGCAACGCCGCGUGAGUGAUGAGGGUCUUCGGAUCGUAAAACUCGUUUAUAAGGGAAGAACAAAUGUGUAAGUAACUAUGCACGUCUUGACGGUACCUAAUCAGAAAGCCACGGCUAACUACGUG
This 497-nucleotide ribosomal RNA is filed under the name uncultured bacterium. RNAcentral's name for it is "partial 16S ribosomal RNA". It matches the Rfam family "Bacterial small subunit ribosomal RNA", at positions 28 to 507 of the family's 1533-position model. The record is from RNAcentral.